Molecule: long non-coding RNA, 369 nt
Organism: Lactuca sativa (garden lettuce)
Lineage: Eukaryota; Viridiplantae; Streptophyta; Magnoliopsida; Asterales; Asteraceae
Source: RefSeq, a predicted model, not a curated record
UAUAUAUAUAUAUAUAUAUAUUCUAAUACCCUUAGUGAUUACUUGGGGUAAAAAGCUAACUUGGAAGAGUGUUGGUCUUGGAUUCAAAACACCAAGAAAAGCUAUCAAAGGUACUUAAAUUGACAAGAAGUGUCCUUUUACUGACGAUGUCUCCAUUAGCAGGAGAUGUUGCUGAAAGGGUCUUGUUGAUAUGUGUAGUGUCAAGCAAAGUAGCUCGAAUGUUGUGAAUGUGGUCAUCAAGUUCAUUUGGUUCUACUACUAUUUGUUGAUGACUUUCAUCUCCUUCACAUUUGAUGUAUUACAUUUAUGUACUAUUGGAAUGAUUACUUGUAUAACAUUAAUUUUGUGCAAUGGAAUGUAUUUUUUGUA